GGGCCAUUAGCUCAGCGGCCUAGAGCAGGAUGCUCAUAACAUCAAGGUCCCUGGUUCGAAUCCAGGAUGGCCCA
This 74-nucleotide transfer RNA is filed under the name Chloroflexota bacterium. RNAcentral describes it as "Chloroflexi bacterium tRNA-Met". It matches the Rfam family "tRNA". From Rfam's summary of the family: Transfer RNA (tRNA) molecules are approximately 80 nucleotides in length. Lineage: Bacteria; Bacillati; Chloroflexota. The record is from RNAcentral.